RNAcentral lists this small RNA (125 nucleotides) under Marmota monax (woodchuck). The record is from RNAcentral. Lineage: Eukaryota; Metazoa; Chordata; Mammalia; Rodentia; Sciuridae.
GCUGGGCAUGGUGGCGCAAGCCUGUAAUCCAAGCAACUUGGGAGGCUGAGACAAGAGGAUCACGAAUUCAAAGCCAGCCUCAGCAACUGUGAGGAGCUAAGCAACUCAGUGAGACACUGGCUCUA